UACGGAAGGCAGCAGUGGGGAAUCUUGCGCAAUGGGCGAAAGCCUGACGCAGCAACGCCGCGUGCGGGAAGAAGGCCCUCGGGUUGUAAACCGCUUUCAGAAGGAACGAAACUGACGGUACUUUCAGAAGAAGGUGCGGCCAACUACGUGCCAGCAGCCGCGGUGACACGUAGGCACCAAGCGUUGUCCGGGAUUUAUUGGGCGUAAAGAGCUCGUAGGCGGUUCGAUAAGUCGGGUGUGAAAACUUUGGGCUCAACCCAAAGCGUGCAUUCGAUACUGUUGUGACUAGAGUUCGGUAGGGGAGUGGGGAAUUCCUAGUGUAGCGGUGAAAUGCGCAGAUAUUAGGAGGAACACCGGUGGCGAAGGCGCCACUCUGGGCCGAAACUGACGCUGAGGAGCGAAAGCGUGGGUAGCAAACAGGGAUUAGAUACCCGU
Molecule: ribosomal RNA, 435 nt
Filed under: uncultured bacterium
Lineage: Bacteria
Description: bacterial SSU rRNA
Rfam family: Bacterial small subunit ribosomal RNA
Source: RNAcentral